GAUGAACGCUGGCGGCGUGCCUAAUACAUGCAAGUCGAGCGAACGGACGAGAAGCUUGCUUCUCUGAUGUUAGCGGCGGACGGGUGAGUAACACGUGGAUAACCUACCUAUAAGACUGGGAUAACUUCGGGAAACCGGAGCUAAUACCGGAUAAUAUUUUGAACCGCAUGGUUCAAAAGUGAAAGACGGUCUUGCUGUCACUUAUAGAUGGAUCCGCGCUGCAUUAGCUAGUUGGUAAGGUAACGGCUUACCAAGGCAACGAUGCAUAGCCGACCUGAGAGGGUGAUCGGCCACACUGGAACUGAGACACGGUCCAGACUCCUACGGGAGGCAGCAGUAGGGAAUCUUCCGCAAUGGGCGAAAGCCUGACGGAGCAACGCCGCGUGAGUGAUGAAGGUCUUCGGAUCGGAAAACUCUGUUAUUAGGGAAGAACAUAUGUGUAAGUAACUGUGCACAUCUUGACGGUACCUAAUCAGAAAGCCGCGGCUAACUACGUG
RNAcentral lists this ribosomal RNA (497 nucleotides) under uncultured bacterium. RNAcentral describes it as "partial 16S ribosomal RNA". It matches the Rfam family "Bacterial small subunit ribosomal RNA", at positions 28 to 507 of the family's 1533-position model. The record is from RNAcentral.